Molecule: non-coding RNA, 112 nt
Organism: Capsicum annuum
Lineage: Eukaryota; Viridiplantae; Streptophyta; Magnoliopsida; Solanales; Solanaceae
Source: Rfam
ACCUCAUAAUUUGGGCAUUAGGAUAAUUUUCCAUUAAACCUUUCCCAUACUUCAAACAAUGGCACCCCAUUCAUUUGCCAAAAAUUCACAAUCUCAUCCCGCUUUUGAAGUU